Molecule: transfer-messenger RNA, 359 nt
Filed under: Comamonadaceae bacterium
Lineage: Bacteria; Pseudomonadati; Pseudomonadota; Betaproteobacteria; Burkholderiales; Comamonadaceae
Rfam family: transfer-messenger RNA
About the family: Bacterial tmRNA, also known as 10Sa RNA or SsrA, is named for its dual tRNA and mRNA-like properties. Its role is to liberate the mRNA from a stalled ribosome.
Source: RNAcentral
CCUGGUUUCGACGUGGGUUCGGAAUCGGCGUGGUGCAUGUCGAGCUUGAAUGGCGCUCGUAAAUCUGCAUUCAAAAAACUAACUGCAAACGACGAACGUUUCGCACUCGCCGCUUAAUAACCGGUGAGCCUUGCAACAGCACGCUGAUGGGCUGGGCAAGGGGAUCGUACCACCUUAGCCAACGCCUGCCAGUGCUUUACCGCCUUGGCAGGCGUUUUCUUUUGUCCCAUUGUUGGCCUGUUUUGGCCUGGCUCAGCGUUACGUGGAUUGGGCCAGAUACUCACCCUCUUCGCUGCCGACAUGGGUCUCUGCUUGGCAAUGGCUGCCAUGGAUCCCGCGUUCAGAUCCGCAUCGCGGAU